Molecule: RNA transcript, 11238 nt
Organism: Manis pentadactyla (Chinese pangolin)
Lineage: Eukaryota; Metazoa; Chordata; Mammalia; Pholidota; Manidae
Gene: ZNF207
Gene name: zinc finger protein 207
Exons: 15
Source: RefSeq, a predicted model, not a curated record
GGGACACAAGAACACAUCCCCGCAAAUACGCGAGCUCCAAACCCAAAUAACCAAUACUUUCACCCAAGAACUUCCCAAAUUAAGUGGAGAAGAUAUUUUCAAAGGAAUAGGUCAGAGACUCUUGGACCUUAACCAUAUCUCUCAGAUUAAGGGUGCUUUGCUUCUUCUCUGCUUAGCUCAGGAACUUUGUUCUUACUAAUGUGUUUCUGUUUCCUAGUCUACUGCUGGUGGAGUCGAAGAGAACGAACUGUGAAACGAAAUAAUCAAGUUAUGUCUGUCUUUCGACAUGUUCAACCUCAGCUGUGCAAUAUUUAAAGAAAAGGGGAGAUGAAAGGGACGGCCUUUGUUUUCCCCAUGUCUGCACGCAGAAUGGGAAAGCACCUAUGAUGCCAGCUUGGAAACAACUGGUGCAGUCCUUGGAAGCUGUAUGCCCACAAAAGCGUAUCCAAGAUGCCUUACACUGCAAACAGAAAGAGGCCUUGGGGACAUGUGCACACACCGCCCUGCUUACUGGGCAGAUUUUAAGAAAUCAACAAAAUGUUCUAGUCUGUUCCCCGUGAGAAAGAAAAGAUAAAUAUGACAUCUGGCUGAGGUCCGAGAAAGGCAGUAUAAAAAUAAAGGAGCUGCGCCACAUCGGGGCUGCAGCCAUUGUCUAUCUUUGUUGCUUGUGUUUUUUGUAACUUCCCAGUACACCCCAGCAGGUCGAAACACUGGUGCUAUCAGGCGGUUUUUGUUUUUUUUCACGAGUGUCUCGGCGUACCUAAGUCGCUGUCUCCUUCACAAAGGAAGCCUCAGAGGUUAACAAGCACAGCCACCGAGAGCACAGGCCCCUUAAAUGAACAAGAUGGCGGCCGCGGGUCUCCACCCACUCAGGGCGGAUGCCUGGGUCACGUGACCCCCUGCCUGGCACCGCCUCCGGCUGCAGUGCCCGACGGGAGACAGAGCCGCGAACGAGGCCGUCGGCCAUUUUGUGUCUGUUUCCUGUGGGACGGGUGGUGGCCGUUGGGUCGGAAGAGUGAACGAUUUUUACUUCUUUUUCCUGCUUGUUUUCUCCCCUCUUCUACUUUGUCGGUAGGGUGCGGUUAUGGGUCGCAAGAAGAAGAAGCAGCUGAAGCCGUGGUGCUGGUAUUGUAAUAGAGAUUUUGAUGAUGAGAAGAUCCUUAUACAACACCAAAAAGCAAAGCAUUUUAAAUGCCAUAUAUGCCAUAAGAAACUGUAUACAGGGCCUGGUUUAGCUAUUCAUUGCAUGCAGGUGCAUAAAGAGACAAUAGAUGCUGUACCAAAUGCAAUACCAGGAAGAACAGACAUAGAGUUGGAAAUAUAUGGUAUGGAAGGUAUUCCAGAAAAAGACAUGGAUGAAAGAAGACGACUUCUUGAACAAAAAACACAAGCAGAGAGUCAGAAAAAGAAGCAACAAGAUGACUCUGAUGAAUAUGAUGAUGACGACUCUGCAGCUUCAACUUCCUUUCAACCGCAGCCUGUUCAACCUCAACAAGGUUAUAUCCCCCCAAUGGCACAGCCAGGAUUGCCACCAGUUCCUGGAGCACCAGGAAUGCCUCCAGGCAUACCUCCAUUAAUGCCAGGUGUUCCUCCAUUGAUGCCAGGAAUGCCACCAGUUAUGCCAGGCAUGCCACCUGGAUUGCAUCAUCAGAGAAAAUACACCCAGUCAUUUUGCGGUGAAAACAUAAUGAUGCCAAUGGGUGGAAUGAUGCCACCUGGACCAGGAAUACCACCUCUUAUGCCUGGUAUGCCACCAGGUAUGCCCCCUCCUGUUCCACGUCCUGGAAUCCCGCCGAUGACGCAAGCACAGGCCGUUUCAGCACCAGGUAUUCUUAAUAGACCACCUGCACCAACAGCCGCAGUUCCUGCUCCACAGCCUCCAGUUACUAAACCUCUUUUCCCCAGUGCUGGACAGAUGGGGACACCUGUAACAAGCUCAAGUACAGCUUCAUCCAAUUCAGAAAGUCUGUCUGCAUCUUCUAAAGCUCUGUUUCCUAGCACAGCACAAGCUCAGGCAGCCGUCCAAGGACCUGUUGGUACAGAUUUCAAGCCCUUAAAUAAUACUCCUGCAACAACUACAGAACCCCCAAAGCCUACAUUCCCUGCUUAUACGCAGUCUACAGCUUCAACCACUAGUACGACAAAUAGCACUGCAGCUAAGCCAGCGGCUUCAAUAACAAGUAAGCCUGCUACACUUACAACAACAAGUGCAACCAGUAAGUUGAUCCAUCCAGAUGAGGAUAUAUCACUGGAAGAGAGAAGGGCACAGUUACCUAAAUACCAACGUAAUCUUCCUCGACCAGGACAGGCUCCCAUUGGUAAUCCACCAGUUGGACCAAUGGGAGGUAUGAUGCCACCACAGCCAGGCAUCCCACAGCAACAAGGAAUGAGACCCCCAAUGCCACCUCAUGGUCAGUAUGGUGGUCAUCAUCAAGCCAUGCCAGGUUACCUUCCUGGUGCUAUGCCACCAUAUGGGCAGGGACCGCCAAUGGUGCCCCCAUACCAAGGUGGGCCUCCUCGACCUCCAAUGGGAAUGAGACCUCCUGUAAUGUCGCAAGGUGGCCGUUACUGAUCUUACUUCAUCCAGUCUAAUAGGUUUUUAGAAGUGAAGUAUAGUAAAUUUGGUUCGUUAUAUUGUGAAGGCGCUGGAAUUACAUGAACAUACCACCUUAAUUAAAGCCCUGCCAUAGGACAGGCUGAGGCUGAGUCUCAGUGUUGCCCUGUUCAGUCUGAGGCAAGUGGGAUUUAUUUUAUUCCUUACAGGGGCUUUCACAGCUUUAUGGCUGUUGGAUAUUUAUGUCCCCAAACUUGCAGCAAGUUUGGUGAAGGCCCCUAAAUUUAAUUAAACUUAGGAUUUUUAUACUCUUUUGGCAGAGAAGGCUCUAUAUUAAUAUUCAUGUUUGUGGUGUUACAAUAAACAUAGUAUUUGAUAUCUAUAACUUCAUGUAAUUUACUCUGUGUAGAUAAUAUUUAACAGCCUCAGUAAAGCUGGUAUUGCUAUAUUGAACUUGAGUAAAUUGAUAAAAUUUGACAUUCUUGAUUUGGAGGCAUGGAAUGUUUCAUUCAAAUUUUCCACUUUUACUUUCAGGAAAAUCUUACUGGUUGUUUUUUCCUCAAACUAUUAAAUUUAACCUCAAGGAUAAGUUUAAAUAUUGGAAAUGCCACUGGAUACUGAAGUUUGCAUUCUUAAUCCCAAAGUUACACAUUGAACAUUAAGGUUGAAAGGUCAUCUGCAAAGGCUUGUGCUAGUAUUUUCAAGUUCACCACAUUAGAGCAAAUGUUAAUGUAGAGCCCUGUGAAGAGUGGGAUGGGAAGGUGGUGUGUGUGGUGUUUGGUAUACCCUACACAUGUAUAAUAGAAGUUUGGGUAUUACACACCUGUCAGUAUGGAUAGAUUACUAAUUUUCAGGUAGCCAGACUGGAAUUGUAUCAUGUGGUAGUUAGUUUAUUGAACUGUGAUUUUUGAACAUUUUGAGGUUUAUUUUCAGGUUCAGUAUUUAAAAUUGAGUAAUUUAUGCAAUAUGCACACACAAAAAGUAUCCACAUUUGUUUUCAAGUAAGAUUUGCUUUUAUUUGGUGAGAAAAGUUGUGUUUAUGUGUGUAUGUUGUAGGGAGUCAAGAGGAAACUGGAAGAAAGGCCAAAACAAACCUGAAUUCGUUUUGUUCAUCGCUGUGUUUAAGCCACUGUUCUAACCAGAUAACAUUUUCCUCUGAACAGUAACAAUUACCAUAUAAUACAAUCUUUAGUGAACCCAGGAUUGUGUUGCUAUGUGGUUUUAAAUCUUGGAAGCAUAAAGAAAAAAUGUGCAUUAACUGAAUUUCUUAUUUUCACCUUUGUAAGUAGAACAUACACUUUUUCUUCACUGAAUCAUGGGAAAACAUUCUAAUGUUUGCAAAAAUAAUUUUGUCGCAACAAAUAUUCCAUUGAAAUAUUUUUUAAUCUCAGUAAUUGCACUGUUUAAGUCUCCUUAGUGGGAGAUGUUUCUUUUUUCACCUAGCAUUCCCCAAUAUACUGAAUUAUUUCAAGAAUGAAGCCACUUGUCCUCAUUCUAAUAGUGAUAAAUAAUUAUCAUUGAAAUGGGCUCUGAUAUACUUGAGUACUGGGAGUGGGAAGGAUUUUUAAGAGUGGCAUAAUUUGUUGAAGGUCUUACCUAACUAAGGUGUAAUUUCUUUGCUAUCUGUGUGACUCAGACAAAUAUAAUUUUGAGAAUUAAAAAACUUUCACAUAUCUUCUAUAUCCGUUGGUAAAAGUUGGUAAAUGAAAGGAAAUGUUGAAGUAACUUUACCGAGAUUAAAAUUUUGAGUAAACUGAUGUUUGUAUUGUUUAAGGGAUGCAAAAAACCAUGUGCCCUAAAAAUUUUGUAUAAAUUAGUUAUAUCUUUAAAAAUAUAGUAUUCACCUACUUAAUAUUGAAUAACUUUUGUAUGUUACUCCAAAACAAAAACUGUUUUUUUUCUUACUGUAACUUUUAUGAAAAAGUCUUCUAAAAAAGGAGGGAUUCAGUUAUAAGACUAGAAUGCAGAUUGUUGUAAGUAAACCCCCCAGUUAACACUUCUGCUUGCCAUCUCAUGACUUGAAUAUCAGUGAAGAUUAAUCCUUUUUUUUUACCCUUCAUUCUCAGUAUUUUGUUUUCUGUCACCUGAAUCAUUUUAAUAAAUAACCUUUUGUUUUCAUAGCAUAGAAAUCAUCUAACUUUUCUGUGUGAUAUUUCUUGGCAAAAUAAGAAUCAUUUACUUUAAUGGUAUUGUAUAUAGUGUCGUGCACAUAGUGGGUAUUCACAAUUUUGUGAUUUGAAUUUCCAGAACUGUAUUUUAAUAUCUUUACUCUUGGGCAUCCCCUAUUAUGGAUUUAAUUCAUAUUAAUGGAGAAAGCAGGACUUCAGUUUGAGCUCCUUCAAAGUAUUUCUUACUUUUCCAAGUGUUUUCAUGGUCUUAUUUGGCAUUUUUGUUGGGAAAUAAGUUUGAAGAUAGCAUUUUCUUAAAAAUAACAGUUAUUCAGUACAGCUCAGAAGGAAAAUUGCUUUUUAUAAGCUUGUAUUUCCUGUUCUGGGUUCUAUACACUCUUUCAUAAUAAUUUGGCUAUAAAAGGAAGACCUUUUUGUUUUCCUCCCAAUCCUGGGAAGAGCUUGACAGUGAAUUUAGUUUGAAAUAUUUGAAUCAUCACUCUUAAAGCAUCUAUUCAGCUAAUCUCAUAUAUUCUCAGGGAAAAAUAUCUUUAUUUUACCAAGCAGGAUAUAGAAGUCAUAUUAAGGCAGAAAUUAGAGAAAAGGAGAUCAUCACUGAAGCUAAUUUGAACUAUUUCUAUUUGAAGCAAAUUGAACACCAUAUUACAUAACCCAUCACUCAUUCAUGGUUAGGUUCUUUAGGAGACAUACUCAUCUAUAUUAAGAGUGAUUGUGUUUAUGUUUAAUUUUGAUUGAAUAAACUAAUUUAACAGGUGAUUAUUUGGACCCCACCCAUUAGUUCUAAAUGCUGCUGUAUAAGGUGGUGAUAGAGCACAGCUUCAGUAAUGUGCUGUGUAUUUGGUCAGGGGUUUGUAUAAUGUUAUCUUUGUAAAAAGGGGAGUCUUUUAUUGGAAUUCUCCAAGCCCUUUGGCAUUCUUUUACUGUGCCUUGGGUUUUGUUUUUGUUGUAUUACUAUAGUUAAAGAAUCUGUAUGCCUUCACCUUUGGUUAAAUUUGAGGAACUGGCAGUGACAUUCAUUGAUGCCCAACUUGGAUAAAAAUGAAGAAUGAUGUUUCCCCAGUGUUACUAUACAGACCAUAGUGAUUAUUUGGGAGAGACCAUUAUAUAGUGUUGUUAGACUUAUGAACCUUAAAUGUAGUAAAGGGUAGUAACAUUCCCUCUCUCUCUAUUAAGGUGUCAGUAAAUCAUUUCUUACAAUGCUGUAUAACGUUUUAUUCAUAAAUGGUUCAAUCAGUCAGAGAUGAAAAUAAACAUUGCUGCAUCGUUUCCCAGUGUCUAGUAAUAAAACAAGGUUGCCUAGCUACCCAAGUGAACCAAGGGAAGUAUUAAAGUUCCUGUAAGUUUGAGUUACAAAACAUAGGGCAUGUGUUAUUUAGCAAAGCUUACCCCUUUAACUGUUAGCUUGUUAGUGUACUUUCAGGAGAAGCAAUAUAAUUUAUUUUUUAGCCCGUGUUUUUUAAAUCAAAUAUCUAAUACAAGAAAAUAAAAUCAAGUUUUCAAAAAGAAAAUUAAAAAUUACCAAAAAUUGCUUCCUCUAUGGGUUGUGUCUAUAUAUACUUAAGUUUUAAAAUGACUAUGUUGAAGAGAUUUUUUUCCUAGAUACGUGCCCAACCUUUUUUAGAGUAACCAGAAUGUCCAUGUAAUAACACACAAUACAUAGUUUACUAAAAUUAAGGUGUGUCCAGGAGAUACACAGUGUUAUUGAUUCAUUCUCAUAAGGUCACUCUAAAUUUAAUAGCCAAUGUAAGGUAACUUGUAAGACUUAGGGACAUUUUUUAAAUGUAUUAAUGUCAGGCUCUGAGGAAAUUUAAUGCACAUUGACUUUAAACUAUGGAUUGAACUCCUCAGUUUAAUACAAUUUGUGUUUUUGUUAACUAGCAGCAGAUUUCAGCAUUUGCUACUUACUGGUAGAGAAGAAAAAUCCCACAGCCCUGCCAGUACAGAAAUUAACAACAAAAGAGGAAAUUGAAGUAAAAUUGAAGAAACGAUUGAACUUCACUAAAUAUUUCUUCAUUGGAAGAGCUAUUAUUUCCCAGACUAUCUGCUCAAAGUCAGGAAAAGAGAUAUUAAAACAUUCAGUAAUUGAAAUUAUUGUAUGUUUUAGCUACAUGUCUUAUUUUUGGACACUUUUGCUAAAUAUCUUACUAUAGAAAGAUGAAGAAGUUGAAGUUAACACUGGUAAACUUUCCACCUUCUUUCCCCUGUCCCACUGUUUUUGUAGUUGUUAUUUGUCAAGUUUUAUAACAUUACUUUAUGUCCUGUUUAGUAUUAGUUCUGUAUUUAAAUGGAACCACUGCUAACCACCAGCAGAGUUUUCCCUAUUGAGUUCAUUGUUUUGACCCAUCACUGAAUUUGAUUUUAUCAAGUGUUUUUUUCCAGAAAAGUUCUUUGUCCUAUAUUCCCUGAUUUUUUUUUUUUUAUGUUGAGAAUAUCUGUCUGUUUCUAUAAUAUUUGAAAAUAUCUAGACUGGGUAUCAUAUUUUUGGGUCACAUUUUAGUUCUUCUGAAAUGUGUGGCAAGAUCUCAUUGUUUUCUGGUUUUGACCCUUGCCUUAAAGAGAUCUGAGACAACCCUGAUUCCCAGCUCCCCUUCACCCCUCUUAGUCAACUUGUUUUGUCUGGUUGUCCAAAGAAUUUUUUCUUCAACUUUGAUGUUAAAUAACUUAAAUGGGUAGGGAUCUGUGUCUACUAUUCUGUACCAGCAUUUUUUUCUUCCUGGAAAUGGUUAUUUCCAUCUAUAAUUCAUUCCUCAUGAAUUAUUCAUGAAUAAUUUCUUCAUUUAUAAAAGAAAAGUUUUCAAAAAUUAUUUCUUUGAAAAAUUUUACUGUUUUAUUUUUUACUUUACUUCAGGGACAUCAGUUAUCUUUAUGGUAGAUGCCCUUUCUUCUUUACUAUUAUUACCUCUAUAGUCUAUAAAUUUCCCAAAGUCUAUAAACUAAUGUAAAUUACAGUCAUGGAACAGUGCUGUAGGUAUGGGUGGGCAGAAACAAACUCAUCUCAGGUCCUAGAAAUAAUGAAGAUAAAACCCUGCAGAAGAUUAGUUCACAAUACAAAAUGACAACACAUGAGAAACAAUUCUCCAGGAGGGAGAGUCAGCAGACGUAACAAACUGCAGGAUUAGAAACCAAGAACAUCAAAUAAUUAUCAGAUACAGAUUCCCAUCCCCCUCAGAUAUGGAUUAUACACAUUGGUUUAAAUGACUAAGAACAUUAAAGAAGGAACCUAAAGCAUAAGGAAGUAAACAAUACUUUGAAAGAAGAACAGUUCUGGAAAAGGACCAAAUAAAUCUUGUAGAAAUGGAAAUAUAUAUAUUUCAAUUUGAUUAAAACUUAGUAGUGUAUUAAAUAGCAGAUUAGAAGUAGCUGAUUAUAUAAUCAGUGAACUAUUAAAUUCUUAAAAAUUACCUAGAAUGUAUAGCAUCUUACUAUGCUGAUAGACACUGACUGCAAUGGGGUGUGUGUGUGGGACCUGAUAAUAGGGGUGAAUGUUGAAACCACAAUGUUGUUUAUGUGAAACCUUCAUAAGAUUGUAUAUCAAUGAUACCUUAACUUAAAAAAAUUACCUAGAAUGUAGCAUGAGAUAAGGAGAUGGAAAAGAUAAGAAAUAUAGUGAAAAGGUGCAGAUAAUCCAACACAAUGAUGUCCAAUAGAAAUAUAAUAUGAGGAACAUAUGUAACAAGUUCUAGGAUCAAGGCUAAAGAAAGUAAAAAGAAACAGGUGAAAUUAAUCCAAAAUAUCAUUUCAAUAUAUACUCAAUAUAAAAGUUAUAAAUCAGAUAUUUUACAUUUUUUUCCUACUGUCUUUAAAAUCCAGCAUGUAUUUUGUAUUAACAACAUAGUUCAAUCUGGAUUAGCCACAUUUCAAGUGCUCAAUAGCCACAAAUAUCUAUGGACUAUUGAAUUGGGCAUAACUUAAAUCUAAAAGGAUUUCCAGGAGAGAAGAGAGGUAGAGGAGGCAAUAUUUGAAGAGAUAAUGGUUGAGACAUUUCCAGGAUUAAUGUAAGACAUGAAUCCUCAGAUGCAGGAAGCACAGUUGCUCUGAAACUGUAGAGAGACGAGGGCAGAAGAUACAUUAAAAUUAAUCAGAGAAAAUGUUUACCUACAAAGGAACUUCAACUGGACUGAGGGCAGUUAUCUUUAAUCUCUUUAAAAUGCUGAGUAAAAAUAAGUGCCAACAUAAGAAUUUUAUACCCGCUGUCAAUUAAGAAUGAGAGUAAAAUGAAGGCAUUCUCAGUCAAAAACAAAGUAUCACUAGCAGACUUUCACUGUAGGAGAACCAUAAUAAAACACAAAUACAGUAAGCUAUCUGUAGAUGUGGGGAGAAGUGGUAGCAUGAGAUUUCCAAAGAGAAGUGAAAAGAUAAUGACAUACAUUCUGUACUUUCUAGUGUCUUUGUCCUCUUUAGAACUCCAGGGGUAGUGAGUGUACAGAGUUGAGCAGUCAGUACUAGCCUAGAACUGCCAACCUUAGCUCCUUGUCUCUGCUGCAGCAUAUGAGGCUGAGAAGGAAGAGUAUGACCUCUUGCACAAGUGAUGAUAGCAUUCCCCUAUUUGCUCAGCUAUGGAAUACAAAGUGUUUAAAAAGCUCAGUGAAAAGUUAACAGUUAUAUGAGGAAAGAAGUAGCUUUGGAAUAGGGUAGCGUGGGAGAGAUCAGGGCUUUGUAGCAUGGUUGGAGUGAUGUUGGGACAGAAAGAAACUUAGAGAGGGAAGGGAGGUGGCAAGACCAAGGGUGCGAAGUGUAAGAUGGGAAAGAAUUGACAACUGAUUGCUACCCAACUGCAAUAAAAAUCACCAAUUAAACCUUCCUUUAGCUCUCCAAGAGGGCUCCAUGAGAAAGAGGAGUAGUGGGUGCUAACCAGACAAUUUAAUCAGCGACUUAAUUAUAAUUUGAAUAGCUGCCAUUUAUGGAGCACUUACAUGUGUCAGCCAUAGUGCUGAAGUGUUCUAGUGUCUUUGAAAAUUUAAUCUUCAAACACUUCUGUGAAUGAGGUUCUUUCUAUUGUGGUAAAAUAUACAUAACAAAAUUUACAAGUUUAACUUUUUAAGGGUACAAUUUUGUGGUAUUAGGCACAUUAUAUUGUUGUGCAACCACUAAGGGAAGUGUGUGUAUAUAUAUAUAUAUAUAUAUAUAUAUAUAUACACACACAUAUAUAUUUUUAAAUUCUUAUCUUAGUUACUGCUUUAUUUAUUUAUUUUUUUAUUUUGGUAUCAUUAAUCUACAAUUACAGAAAGAACAUUAUGUUUACUAGGUUCCCCCCUUCACCAAGUCCCCCCCACAUACCCCUUCACAGUCACUGUCCAUCUGCGUAGUAAGAUGCUGUAAAAUCACUACUUGUCUUCUCUGUGUUGUGCAAGGGAAGUAUAUUUUAAAAAUAAUUUUACUGAUGGAGGUACUUCUUUGCUUUGUGCAGAGACCCCCACACAGAUGCCUUGACUGAAACCCCUAGGACUCUGUCCAGUUUUUCCAGCACCAAGUCUGGCUCUGGCUCUGUCAAGAAGUUGGUAUUCAAAAACUAUAAAGAUAAAGCUCUGAUGCUGGAAAAGUACACUGAAGAAACAUGGCAAAAAUUAAAGGAGGCUAUACAAGCUAUCCAGAACAACGUCUCCAUUAAGUACUCCCUGGAAGAACUUAUCAGACUCCAAAUUAGGAGGCACAAAGACAAGCCCCAGAGUGGAAACACACAUCUACAGUUCCUUGAGAACAAGGUCUGUAUUCCCCUGACUGUCCCCAGCAAGCAGUGGAUUUGCUGUCACUAUGAUUGUUGAAAACUUUUGCUCCUUCAAUUUAUCUGCAAACUUGUAUAAACAACUGAAGCGGCUUUGUGAACUCCAUAUCAAGGCACAAGUUCAUCAGUUCAGAGAAUGAGUGAAAUCAUUUGGUACUUGUCUUUCUCCGCCUAGCUUAUUUCACUGAGAAUAAUACCCUCUAGCUCCAUCCAUGUUGUUGCAAACAAUCAUGAUUAGGAACAUUUUUCUGUUCCUAGACAGAUCUUAUGUUUUUUGGAAUCCAGUGUUACCUCCAUUUGGGACAUGGGCUUGAAUUAUUUAAAUCACACAUAAUUUGUGAUCAGAACAUUGAGAGCAAGACUAUAGAUGGGACUCUUCUGUUGAUUGAAAAAGAAAGAAAUGGUGAAGCGGUUGAUCGACAUUUGAUUCAAAGACUUUUAAAUAUGCUUUCUGAUUUGCAAAUUUGCAAAGAAUCUUUUGAGAAUAAACUACCCAAAGAAACAAGGAAGUUCUAUGCAACAGAGGGAAGGAACUUCGUGCAAAAACAAGAGAUGAGUGAAAUCAUUCGAUACUUGUUUUUCUCUGCCUGGCCUACCUCACUGAGCAUAACACCCUCCAGCUCCAUCCAUCUUGCCGCAAACGCCUACUGAUCUGAAAAAGCAAAAGAAUCCUUAACUGACAGAGACUGCAUUGAAAGAUACAAGGAAAACCCAAACCAGUUCAAGUAUAUUGCAUAAAACUCUGGCCUUAACCUGAACAUAUGAUACUCUUUCCACUUUCAGUGGGUACCUCAUGGUCCUGUCUUUUGAAUAAAUAUGGUGUCUGAAUAAAA